RNAcentral lists this ribosomal RNA (182 nucleotides) under uncultured bacterium. Its description in RNAcentral is "partial 16S ribosomal RNA". It matches the Rfam family "Bacterial small subunit ribosomal RNA", at positions 1320 to 1500 of the family's 1533-position model. The record is from RNAcentral.
GUGAAGCUGGAUUCGCUAGUAAUCGCGCAUCAGCCAUGGCGCGGUGAAUACGUUCCCGGGCCUUGUACACACCGCCCGUCACACCAUGGGAGUUGGGAAUGCCCGAAGCCGGUGACCUAACCGAAAGGGAGGAGCCGUCGAAGGCAGGCUUGAUAACUGGGGUGAAGUCGUAACAAGGUACC